UACCAUUAAGAAUCUUUGCGA
This is a non-coding RNA of Caenorhabditis elegans, 21 nucleotides long. The record is from Ensembl. Lineage: Eukaryota; Metazoa; Nematoda; Chromadorea; Rhabditida; Rhabditidae.